This is a long non-coding RNA of Oncorhynchus tshawytscha (Chinook salmon), 1970 nucleotides long. RefSeq lists it as uncharacterized. The transcript has 3 exons. The record is from RefSeq and is a predicted model, not a curated record. Lineage: Eukaryota; Metazoa; Chordata; Actinopteri; Salmoniformes; Salmonidae.
CGCUCAGUAAAUUUACACAGACAUUACAUUUCGUUCUGUUGUUUUUAGACAUAAUGCUAAGCUGUUUUUUUUAUAGCUCACUGAUCGAUAUCUUAGUAAAAUAAUAUUUUUUUGUUAAACUAGCGGGGCACUGAAAUCUUUGCUUUGUGCUAAAGUCAACAGUGGCAGAGUUUGAGCUCAAAUAAAUGCCGUGAUGUCUGCAGCCCUUUGCAGUAGCUGAAGGCGAGGUUCCACAAUGGGCUCCGGUAGCUUGCCAGUAAGCAUCGACUGUAUUGCACAGGUCUCUGCUGGGGAGGGCUCCAUGGCUGUGGCGUCGGAGAGGUGCCUUCGGAGAGAGGAUGGAUAGGGAGGAGAGGAGGCCUCAAUGUAAGGAGGGAUAACGAGUAGAGGAGGCCAUAAUGAUACAUAGAAGGAGAGUACUGGUUCGGACAGAAGAAGCAGAUGGAUCUGACUGCCACACACAUUGUCCCUUCAGUCGUGGGCUGUGCUGUGACUGUCCCAUGGCACCCGCCAGAUGGAGACGGCCUAACUUGACUUAUGUGUGGAAUGGGACCAAUGGGAUCAAUGCAGUCCUGCCUACGACCUUCUCCCCGCAUCACCACAGAACCACAGACACAUAAAGGCACUUUCCUCUCUGAGUGCAUGUCUACCUGGCUAUGUCUGCUUCUGACCUGUCUGCAUCUAUGAAAUAUCAAAGCUUGUGUCAGGCAUCGCUGAAUAGGGACAAAAAAGAAGCACCAUUAAUGAUUAACUGUUCUAAAAGUCCUGGCUUUUUUAUUCCCAUGGUUCCCGGGUUAUCUUGCGGCCAUGUGACUUGCUCGCAGUGUUUUUCAAGCAGAUUGGGGGAAAGCUAGUGAGCAAACACAGGUGCUUUGGACUGGAGUCGCAGACGCUGUCAGGGACAACCACAAACAAGAGCAGCAAUGCCUGGCUAAAUGAGAGCCCAUCCCCUUACUUACUCCCUGGCUAGCUUAGCUUUGUCACGGACCGCAGUGGCUGGAGAUACUCACCACAGCCCAAGUCCAAUGUCCUCCUAGUGUUCCACAACUUUUCCCACUCUCCAAAGAAACAAACAAAUAAAAUGUGAGGGUUGAAGCCCACUUGGCAUUCGCUCUGGUCUCGAGUAUAGAGGGAGAGCAAACAAAUGAAUGGUGUUCCAUUUCUCCCUUUCUAAAACAAACCAAAUGGGGUUUUCCUAAAGUGGGGCAAUUCCAGUGACCCUGGUGUCAAACAGGGUUCAACACUCUGGCACUUGAGAAGCGUAGUGGGAAAUGAGAGAGAGAUAUUCAGAAAGGUGCUAUGGGUUCUCAGAAAUAUGCAGGAAGACAAUCUGAUUCUCAGAAAAUGGAGUGGUUGAUUUGAUUGUUUCAUGAAUGUUUCAUGACAGGAAGAUGACGAAUAAAUCAUGAAUACAUAAAAGCAUAUUUUCUGUCAACAAAGUAUACUUUUUCGUUGUUCUGAUUUGAUUGAGUUCUGAAAAUGUUCUUGAGUUGUUUUCAAGGUUCUAUAAACACAGUCUGGGCACUUAACCCUUUUCUUGUCAAUAACGUCUGUCCCUUUGUAAAACGACUGAGAGCGUUCUGUAGCACAACUUUGAUAACACAAUCAUAUGAUAUGUUGGCGCUAUCUGAACACGGCUUUCCGGCAGCGAGAUAAAUGAACAGCAUGAUAACGUGAACAAAAGUGUGGUUCUGAUUGGUUGGUCUAUGAAUAGAAAAAAUGCAGCAUGGAAAGUCUCCACAAUAAGGGCAAUUCAUUAGAUUUGUAAUUUUCUACAAUCUACAUGACCAGGGUCAGACAGACAGCUUUUGUUUCAGUCAAAUAUUUAUUUGUGUGUUAGCAAGUCUUUCAGUUCAUACCCUGCAAUUACAGUGAGCUUGUAAAGCUGAGAUGAUAAAAGUGUUUAAAAACAAACACUCCAAAUCAACAGGAGAGGAAAUGAAGCUGGAGAGAGAUAGAGGAGGGGGGGG